Pan troglodytes (chimpanzee) is the source of this 648-nucleotide long non-coding RNA. RefSeq lists it as uncharacterized. The transcript is spliced from 3 exons. Lineage: Eukaryota; Metazoa; Chordata; Mammalia; Primates; Hominidae. The record is from RefSeq and is a predicted model, not a curated record.
AAAAAAAAAAAAAGAAUAUUCAAGUGAUUACAUGAUUACAGAGGUCAUGACAUUGAUUGGCCCUGUUGUGAAGGAAAUGUACUUCUGUCAUCCCACUUGACUCAGCCAGGAGUAAUAUUUGCAAAAUAAUGUAAACUCUGUUUCUUGAAUUUCAGCAUUUAGGAAUAACAUGGAUGGUUGAACCCAUGGAUACAGAGGGCCAACUGCACAUACAAUGAAUGCUUGAAGUGCACUGAUCUUCAGUGAACAGCUCACUGACUCUUUACAGGUCUCAAACUCGUGAGCUCAAGCGAUCUGCCCACCUCAGACUCCAAAGUGCUGAAAUUAUAGGCAUGAGCCACCAUGCCUGGUCAGCAUUGGGGAGUUUCAAGAACUAUUCCAGCAAAGGAGGGGAACUUCACCACCACUGCAUGUCCUAGGCUUGGAAGUCAGGCAGCAUUGCUUCUGCUGUGUUCUCUUUGUUACAAAUAUUGAAAAUUUGCUACCUGCACCUGCUGCGUUCCCACCCUCUGGAGACCUGGGAACCUGGCUGCAGCCUGGGAAGGCUGGAGAAGCAGAUGGCAGCACCCACCAGCUCCUCUCCCUGUCCCACCUCUUCCCUGGGGAACCAGACCCUACCUGUGUGGUGGUGGGUGGGCUGAUUGUCAA